GAUGAACGCUGGCGGCGUGCCUAAUACAUGCAAGUAGAACGCUGAAGGAGGAGCUUGCUCUUCUGGAUGAGUUGCGAACGGGUGAGUAACGCGUAGGUAACCUGCCUGGUAGCGGGGGAUAACUAUUGGAAACGAUAGCUAAUACCGCAUGACAACAGUUAUUGCAUGAUAACUGUUUAAAAGGGGCAACUGCUCCACUACCAGAUGGACCUGCGUUGUAUUAGCUAGUUGGUGAGGUAACGGCUCACCAAGGCGACGAUACAUAGCCGACCUGAGAGGGGGAUCGGCCACACUGGGACUGGGACACGGCCCAGACUCCUACGGGAGGCAGCAGUAGGGAAUCUUCGGCGAUGGACGGAAGUCUGACCGAGCAACGCCGCGUGAGUGAAGAAGGUUUUCGGGUCGUAAAGCUCUGUUGUAAGAGAAGAACGAGUGUGAGAGUGGAAAGUUCACACUGUGACGGUAUCUUACCAGAAAGGGACGGCUAACUACGUG
Molecule: ribosomal RNA, 495 nt
Filed under: uncultured bacterium
Lineage: Bacteria
Description: partial 16S ribosomal RNA
Rfam family: Bacterial small subunit ribosomal RNA
Source: RNAcentral